CCUACGGGCGGCAGCAGUCGAGAAUCAUUCACAAUGGGGGAAACCCUGAUGGUGCGACGCCGCGUGGGGGAAUGAAGGUCUUCGGAUUGUAAACCCCUGUCAUGUGGGAGCAAAUUAAAAAGAUAGUACCACAAGAGGAAGAGACGGCUAACUCUGUGCCAGCAGCCGCGGUAAUACAGAGGUCUCAAGCGUUGUUCGGAAUCACUGGGCGUAAAGCGUGCGUAGGCUGUUUCGUAAGUCGUGUGUGAAAGGCGCGGGCUCAACCCGCGGACGGCACAUGAUACUGCGAGACUAGAGUAAGGGAGGGGGAACCGGAAUUCUCGGGGUAGCAGUGAAAUGCGUAGAUAUCGAGAGGAACACUCGUGGCGAAGGCGGGUUCCUGGACAUUAACUGACGCUGAGGCACGAAGGCCAGGGGAGCGAAAGGGAUUAGAUACCCCUGUAGUC
Molecule: ribosomal RNA, 446 nt
Filed under: uncultured bacterium
Lineage: Bacteria
Description: partial 16S ribosomal RNA
Rfam family: Bacterial small subunit ribosomal RNA
Source: RNAcentral